Molecule: non-coding RNA, 2768 nt
Organism: Podarcis raffonei (Aeolian wall lizard)
Lineage: Eukaryota; Metazoa; Chordata; Lepidosauria; Squamata; Lacertidae
Source: the annotation of a RefSeq genome assembly
GUGUGCAACUGGUACUUUGAUGUCUGGGGACCUGGAACGCAGCUGAUUGUCACUUCAGAUCCAAAUGAAACUCCUUUGGUGUUUCCCCUGAUGCCUUGCUGUGAUUCCGACGAAAACAAGGCAGAUGUAACCUUCGCCUGCCUCCUUGCUGCAAAUAUGAUGAAUUUGGCAACUAUUGAGUGGCAACCCAGCAACAGUCAAGCAAAAACGUUCCCAGCAACACAGCAAAGAAUAGGCAGCAGAUUUUACAGUGCCAGUCAGCUGACAGUCCAUUCGGAAGAACUUAAAACAAAAUCUUAUCAGUGCCUUGUGAACCAGCAGUCAGAAAAGGGGGAGCGACCAUCAGCAACCAUCCGCUACAGUGAUUGCACUCUACAAGCUCGAAAGCCAAUCCAAGUUAACAUCUUCACCCCCAGCUGCGGUGAGCAGGCCGCAGAGACCAGCCUAGAUCUGGUAUGCUUCCUCUGGAGCCUUGGCCCUGGGAAAGCCUAUGUGGAAUGGCUGAGGAAUGGAGAAGUGGAGCAGGGCAGAGUGCAGGUGUCACUGGCAGCGGACCAAGGGAAAAGCAGUAGCUACUCCAGAUUUGUCCGAUGGAAUAUCACCAAAGAGAGCUGGGACAGAGGGGACAUCUACACAUGUAAAGUGGCUCGAUCAGCUCGCAACCCGGACAUCGUAAUGUACAACACCAGCAAGUGCCAGGCCUGCUAUGCUUCACUGCUGAAACCUACUGUCUCCAUCAUCAAGCCAUCCUAUAGAGACGUGGUUGAAGGGACAGCCAAUGUUACUUGUGCUGUGGUUGGUUUUGGCCUUGAAAACAUUGAAGUUACUUGGGAUGUGGAUGGCAAGCCCAGUACUAUGGGUCAGAAGACCAUGAGGGGAAAGGACGCCAGUGGAGAACAGGAGAUUAAAAACACCCACACGAUAUCUUUGGAACAAUGGAGAAAGGGUACCAGAUUCACCUGCAAAGUGGCUGGAGGUUGCUAUGAAGAAGUCAUCAAACAAUUAACAAUCAAGAAAGAGACACAAACCAUGGAGCCCUCCAUCACCGUUUCAAAAGCCAACUUUGACGUCUCGCUCCAGAGUACCGUGGCCCUGAUUCUUGUCUGCAAUGUGAAUGGGUUUUCCCCAGAGGAAAUUAGCAUCUCAUGGAAGAAGGACAACAAUAUCCUGAAUGAAACACUGUAUGACAACGGACCAGUGACACCAGCUGGGAAGGGGUACACCACUUACAGCAUCCUUAAAAUUGGCAGAGACGAAGCAGGGGGGAAGGGCGGCAGCUACAGCUGUGUGGUCCACCAUUCCUCGUCCAACCAGCCACUCACUAAGAGUGAAAAGGUACCCAUUGAUUUUCUGCAACCAGCUCCCCCGCAGGUGACAGCAUUCCACACCUCGGAAGAUGGGGGAAGCCAGAAACUUGUUUGCUUUGCUACCGACUUCUAUCCCAAAAAUAUAGACAUUGAAUGGGCCACCAAAGGACACAGGCUCAGCUGCAGUCCUAACUCAUCAGCUCUGGUCCCACUUGGUAAUGGGAAGUUCCAGAAGACCUGCAGUUGGGUACUCAGCGGAGAAGAGUGGAGAGAGCCAGAAAUCUAUACAUGCACUGUGAAUCACAGCUCAACCAACACCAUGAUUAAGAAGGACUUGCAUUAUUCUGGAAUGGCCCCACUUCUUAACAAGACAGCUAUCAAAAUGCAGCCACCACCCUUUGAAGAUCUCUUUAUAAACAAAAGUGCCGUUCUGACAUGCAUGAUGCCCCUUGCAAAUGCAACCAUCAACUCAACAGUCAGUUGGACAAUAGAUGGAGAACCUGCCGACACAAAAGCUGUGACUACCACAUUCUUGAAUGAAACAAACAGCACUUCUUGGAUCUACGGACAACUGCGCGUGAAUCUGACUGAAUGGAAAACCACUGUGAAGUUCACCUGUAGCAUCCAAAAUGGCCUAGGAGAAACCAAGCAACACUUUGAGCGAAGGAAUGGCACAAUGAAGCCCCCAAAAGUCUAUCUCCAGCAACAGUCCUCCAAUGAUGACUUAAAUGUAACCUUAUUCUGCGUGGUCAGAGACUUCUACCCAGGAGAAAUCUUUGUGAAGUGGGAAGAGGAGAAAAAAGGAAUGUCACUGAAGGGUUAUGAUGCUCAUGGUCUGAAAUGUGACCAUGAAAAACAAAGAUGUUCCUUAGUGAGCAUACUUGAAGUCCCCACAAGCAAGUGGCUGACAGGAGUCUCUUACGCAUGCCUUGUAGCACACGUCUCCUCUGAAAACAUCACAAUCAGAAGAACCAAUUCCCUUUCCGAUUCCUGGGACUGUGCCAUCAUGGGUACUGCUCUGUGCGAUAUCCGCAACGAAAACGAAGAUGAGUACAGUGAACUCGAGGAGGCCAACAGCGUCUGGAACAAAGUUUCCACUUUCAUGGUCCUCUUCACUGUUGCAAUCUUCUAUGGGGGACUUGUCACUUUCAUCAAGGUGAAGUAACCUUCCUCCUUAUCUCAUGAUGAAGAAUAUGCAGAAUAAGACCCUGCUUUUUCUCUCCAUUAUAUAGUUCUCUCAGUCUUUUUCCAUUAUAAUUUUUGUCUGCUACAAUACAACAAAGCAUUAAUGUCAGAAAACAUUAACUUCAGUGUUACUUUGUUUGCUUUGCCAUCUUUUGCGAUAAUCGACACAGCCAACUUUGCUUCAAAAAGAUGGUUAACAGGUCACUGAGGAAAGUGACCUCAACUUUACAUCAACAUUAUCACAAAUAGUAAAUAACUUUGUGUAUCAAUAUUGCA